RNAcentral lists this ribosomal RNA (253 nucleotides) under uncultured bacterium. Its description in RNAcentral is "partial 16S ribosomal RNA". It matches the Rfam family "Bacterial small subunit ribosomal RNA", at positions 524 to 776 of the family's 1533-position model. The record is from RNAcentral.
UACGAAGGGGGCUAGCGUUGCUCGGAAUCACUGGGCGUAAAGGGUGCGUAGGCGGGUUUUUAAGUCAGAGGUGAAAUCCUGGAGCUCAACUCCAGAACUGCCUUCGAUACUGGGAAGCUCGAGUCCGGGAGAGGUGAGUGGAACUGCGAGUGUAGAGGUGAAAUUCGUAGAUAUUCGCAAGAACACCAGUGGCGAAGGCGGCUCACUGGCCCGGUACUGACGCUGAGGUGCGAAAGCGUGGGGAGCAAACAGG